CACGGAGUUAGCCGGUGCUUAUUCGUAUAGUACCUUCAGCUAUUCUCACGAGAGUAGGUUUAUCCCUAUACAAAAGAAGUUUACAACCCAUAGGGCCGUCGUCCUUCACGCGGGAUGGCUGGAUCAGGCUCUCACCCAUUGUCCAAUAUUCCUCACUGCUGCCUCCCGUAGGAGUCUGGUCCGUGUCUCAGUACCAGUGUGGGGGAUCACCCUCUCAGGCCCCCUAAAGAUCAUUGACUUGGUGAGCCGUUACCUCACCAACUAUCUAAUCUUGCGCGUGCCCAUCUCUAUCCACCGGAGUUUUCAAUAUCUAAUGAUGCCAUCAAAUAUAUUAUGGGUAUUAAUCUUCUUCGAAAGGCUAUCCCCUGAUAAAGGUAGGUUGCACACGUCGUUCCGCACCCGUGCGCCGCUCUCAAGAUUCCGAAGAAUCUCUACCGCUCGGCUUGCAUGUGUAGCCUCCGCUAGCUUCAUCCUGAGCCAGGACUCAAACU
This 491-nucleotide ribosomal RNA is filed under the name uncultured Chryseobacterium sp. RNAcentral's name for it is "partial 16S ribosomal RNA". Lineage: Bacteria; Pseudomonadati; Bacteroidota; Flavobacteriia; Flavobacteriales; Weeksellaceae. The record is from RNAcentral.